RNAcentral lists this ribosomal RNA (336 nucleotides) under Triticum aestivum (bread wheat). Its description in RNAcentral is "partial small subunit ribosomal RNA". Lineage: Eukaryota; Viridiplantae; Streptophyta; Magnoliopsida; Poales; Poaceae. The record is from RNAcentral.
AUGACUCCAUUUCAUGGGCCUGGGAGUCGGAUGGAUGGUUUUCCUCUAAAUCGGCGUAGAAGGUGCCUUUCGUGGGGCCACAUCAGAAUGGGCAAGUGUGAGAACAUAGCAUUACAAUGGCGGAUGAAGCAGAAUCCUUCCUACAAAGGCAAGUGGCAUGCACCCCUGAUUGACAACCCCAGCUACAAGGGAAUCUGGAAGCCCCAAGAUAUCCCCAACCCUGAGUACUUUGAGCUUGACAAGCCUGACUUUGAUCCAAUUGCUGCUAUUGGAAUUGAGAUUUGGACAAUGCAUGAUGGCAUCGUUUAUGGCAAUAUUCUUUUUGCCGAUGAUUAG